UUUUCUAUGCAAUACUUUGUGGAAGGUUUCUUGUCUGUUUUCUUUUAGUCAUAGUUUCCCACUUUUAGGGUUCGUGUUGCCAAAUCUUAAAUUUUCUAUGUAAUACUUUAUGGAAGGUUUCUUGGCUGUUUUCUUUUGUUCAUAGUUUCCCCACUUGUCGAGGUCGUGCUGACAGCUGUUAAAUUUUCUAUGUAAUACUUUGUGGACGGGUUCUCGUCUGAUUUGUUUUAGUCCUGGUAAUGUGUUCCCUCUUGUGUGGUUUUCUUUCUUAAAAUUAUUAAGUAGUAUUGUCACCCCUGUUUCCUGUUAUAUCUCAUCAGAAUCUUAACCAAAUUUAUUUAUGUAAGGUUGAAUAUCAAUGAAAUCAAUGCAUUAUUCGAUAAAUCUAAGCAGGUGGGAAGCGUCAUGUUGUCUCCUUG
RNAcentral lists this long non-coding RNA (419 nucleotides) under Mytilus galloprovincialis (Mediterranean mussel). The record is from RNAcentral. Lineage: Eukaryota; Metazoa; Mollusca; Bivalvia; Mytilida; Mytilidae.